This 305-nucleotide ribosomal RNA is filed under the name uncultured bacterium. Its description in RNAcentral is "bacterial SSU rRNA". It matches the Rfam family "Bacterial small subunit ribosomal RNA", at positions 331 to 655 of the family's 1533-position model. The record is from RNAcentral.
UUUGACCUACGGGGGGCAGCAGUGGGGGAUAUUGCACAAUGGGGGGCACCCUGAUGCAGCGACGCCGCGUGGGCGAUGGAGUGCUUCGGCAUGUAAAGCUCUAUCAGCAGGGAAGAAAAUGACGGUACCUGACUAAGAAGCCCCGGCUAACUACGUGCCAGCAGCCGCGGUAAUACGUAGGGGGCAAGCGUUAUCCGGAUUUACUGGGUGUAAAGGAAGCGUAGACGGUGCAGCAAGUCUGAUGUGAAAGGUCGGGGCCCAACCCCGGGACUGCAUUGGAAACUGUUGAACUGGAGUACAGGAGG